RNAcentral lists this transfer RNA (64 nucleotides) under Escherichia coli. RNAcentral describes it as "tRNA-Gly". It matches the Rfam family "tRNA". Rfam says of the family: Transfer RNA (tRNA) molecules are approximately 80 nucleotides in length. Their secondary structure includes four short double-helical elements and three loops (D, anti-codon, and T loops). Further hydrogen bonds mediate the characteristic L-shaped molecular structure. tRNAs have two regions of fundamental functional importance: the anti-codon, which is responsible for specific mRNA codon recognition, and the 3' end, to which the tRNAs corresponding amino acid is attached (by aminoacyl-tRNA synthetases). tRNAs cope with the degeneracy of the genetic code in two manners: having more than one tRNA (with a specific anti-codon) for a particular amino acid; and 'wobble' base-pairing, i.e. permitting non-standard base-pairing at the 3rd anti-codon position. The record is from RNAcentral. Lineage: Bacteria; Pseudomonadati; Pseudomonadota; Gammaproteobacteria; Enterobacterales; Enterobacteriaceae.
GCGGGAAUAGCUCACGACCUUGCCAAGGUCGGGGUCGCGAGUUCGAGUCUCGUUUCCCGCUCCA